This 253-nucleotide ribosomal RNA is filed under the name uncultured bacterium. RNAcentral describes it as "partial 16S ribosomal RNA". It matches the Rfam family "Bacterial small subunit ribosomal RNA", at positions 524 to 776 of the family's 1533-position model. The record is from RNAcentral.
UACGUAGGGUGCAAGCGUUGUCCGGAAUUAUUGGGCGUAAAGAGCUCGUAGGCGGUUUGUUGCGUCGGCUGUGAAAUCCCGAGGCUCAACCUCGGGUCUGCAGUCGAUACGAGCAAACUAGAGUGUUGCAGGGGAGACUGGAAUUCCUGGUGUAGCGGUGAAAUGCGCAGAUAUCAGGAGGAAUACCGGUGGCGAAGGCGGCAUCCUGGACCAUUACUGACGCUGAGGCGCGAAAGCUAGGGGAGCAAACGGG